This 1145-nucleotide non-coding RNA is filed under the name Alligator mississippiensis (American alligator). RNAcentral describes it as "Eukaryotic large subunit ribosomal RNA". It matches the Rfam family "Eukaryotic large subunit ribosomal RNA", at positions 2389 to 3169 of the family's 3401-position model. The record is from Rfam by way of RNAcentral. Lineage: Eukaryota; Metazoa; Chordata; Crocodylia; Alligatoridae.
CAGAAUCACUGGGGAAAGAAGAUGCUGUUGAGCUUGACUCCAGUCUGGCACUGUAUAGAGACAUGAGUGGUGUAGAGUAAGUGGGAGGUCCUGAGGCUGCUACUGUAAUACCACUAUCCUUUUGUCCUUUUUCACUUACUCAGUGAGACAGGGGGCAAGGCCCAAGGGGCUUUUGUUUUUGACUCCAAGGCACCUAUACAUGAGCACAGAAGCUGCUCUGACAUGCUGAAAUUCCAGUGCAUUGGAGCAGAUUCAAUUAAUCGAGUCUGCUGGAGCCUGGCAAUUGCUGUGCUCCAGCAACCUCCUGCAUCUCAUAUAUCAAAAUCCCCAUGCUUAAAAAUGGCAGCAGGGACAUUUGAACUAAAGCUCAUCAAACAACCUUUAGUUCAAGCACCUCCGCCACCAUUUUUAAGAGCAGGGUUGAUGCUAAUGCAGGAGACGUGGUGAUUUAAUUAGAUCAGCUCUUGGAGCCUCUCUAACUGAAGUGCUGCCCACCCACCCCCAUGCCCCCCACAGCCCUGAGAACACAUAUAAAAGUGCCCCAAGUGCCAAGCAUGGGCAGGGUGCCACCUAUUCUGGAGACUGUGUCAGAUGGGGAGUCUGACUGAGGAGGUACAUCUGUCAAACUAUACACCAGGUGUCUUAAGGUGAGCUUCAGGGAGGACAGAAACCUCCCAUGGGGCAGAAAGGCAAAAAGGUUGCUGGAUCUUGAUUUUUCAGUAUGAGCACAGACCAUGACAGCAGGGCCUCAUGAUUCUUCUGAUUUUGAGGGUUUUAAGCAGGUGUCAGAAAAGUUACCACAGGGAUAACUGGCUUGUGGUAGCCAAGUAUUCAUAGCAGUGUCACUUUUGAUCCUUCACUGUCACCUUUUCCUGUCAUUGAAAAACAGAAUUCACCAAGUAUUGGAUUGAUUGCCCUCCCAUAUGGAACAUGAUCUGAGUUUAGUCCAUCAUGAGAAAGGUUAGUUUUACCCAACUGAUGAUGUGUUUUGCAAUAAUUAUCCUGCUCAGUACAAGAGGAACCACAGGUUCAGACAUUUGGGCUAAGGACAGAUAUUCAAAAAGCCUGAGCCUGAAUUGAUUCAAGCUUUGCAGGUUAAUCUAACCUGGCUAGCUGAAACCAGUUUGUAACCACACAGACAUCCC